Molecule: transfer RNA, 72 nt
Filed under: Spirochaetia bacterium
Lineage: Bacteria; Pseudomonadati; Spirochaetota; Spirochaetia
Description: tRNA-Thr
Rfam family: tRNA
About the family: Transfer RNA (tRNA) molecules are approximately 80 nucleotides in length. Their secondary structure includes four short double-helical elements and three loops (D, anti-codon, and T loops).
Source: RNAcentral
GCCGGAAUAGCUCAGGGGUAGAGCGACGCUCUCGUAAAGCGUAGGUCCUGGGUUCAAUUCCCAGUUCCGGCU